This 468-nucleotide ribosomal RNA is filed under the name uncultured bacterium. Its description in RNAcentral is "partial 16S ribosomal RNA". It matches the Rfam family "Bacterial small subunit ribosomal RNA", at positions 28 to 507 of the family's 1533-position model. The record is from RNAcentral.
GACGAACGCUGGCGGCGGGCUUAACACAUGCAAGUCGAACGGAAAGGCCCUGCUUUUGGGGGGUGCUCGAGUGGCGAACGGGUGAGUAACACGUGAGUAACCUGCCCUUGACUUUGGGAUAACUUCAGGAAACUGGGGCUAAUACCGGAUAGGAGCUCCUGCUGCAUGGUGGGGGUUGGAAAGUUUCGGCGGUUGGGGAUGGACUCGCGGCUUAUCAGCUUGUUGGUGGGGUAGUGGCUUACCAAGGCUUUGACGGGUAGCCGGCCUGAGAGGGUGACCGGCCACAUUGGGACUGAGAUACGGCCCAGACUCCUACGGGAGGCAGCAGUGGGGAAUAUUGCACAAUGGGCGGAAGCCUGAUGCAGCAACGCCGCGUGCGGGAUGACGGCCUUCGGGUUGUAAACCGCUUUCGCCUGUGACGAAGCGUGAGUGACGGUAAUGGGUAAAGAAGCACCGGCUAACUACGUG